GACGAACGCUGGCGGCGUGCUUAACACAUGCAAGUCGAACGGAAAGGCCCUGCGUUUGUUGGGUGCUCGAGUGCCGAACGGGGGAGUAACACGUGAGUAACACGCCCUUGUCUUUGGGAUAACAUCAGGAAACUGGGGCUAAUAUCGGAUAGGAUCUCCUGCUGCACGGGGGGCAUUGGUAAGUGUCGGCUGUUGGGGAUGUAUUCGAGGCUUAUGGGCUGGUUUGGCGAGUAGUGGUGGACGAGGGCUUUGAAGGGUAGCCGGCCUUAGAGGGUUACCGGCGACAUUGGGACUGCGAUACGGACCAGAAUCGUACGGGAGGCAGCAGUGGGGAAUAUUGCAGAAUGGGCGGAAGCCUGAUGCAGCAGCGCCGCGUGCGGGAUGACGUGCUUUGGGGUGUAAACAGCUUUCGCAGGUGACGAAGCGUGAGUGACGGUAAUGGGUAAAGAAGCACCGGCUAACUACGUG
RNAcentral lists this ribosomal RNA (468 nucleotides) under uncultured bacterium. RNAcentral describes it as "partial 16S ribosomal RNA". It matches the Rfam family "Bacterial small subunit ribosomal RNA", at positions 28 to 507 of the family's 1533-position model. The record is from RNAcentral.